This 471-nucleotide ribosomal RNA is filed under the name Bacillus subtilis. Its description in RNAcentral is "bacterial SSU rRNA". The record is from RNAcentral. Lineage: Bacteria; Bacillati; Bacillota; Bacilli; Caryophanales; Bacillaceae.
CCUUNGGGGGGGGGUGCAGUAGGGAAUCUUCCGCAAUGGACGAAAGUCUGACGGAGCAACGCCGCGUGAGUGAUGAAGGUUUUCGGAUCGUAAAGCUCUGUUGUUAGGGAAGAACAAGUACCGUUCGAAUAGGGCGGUACCUUGACGGUACCUAACCAGAAAGCCACGGCUAACUACGUGCCAGCAGCCGCGGUAAUACGUAGGUGGCAAGCGUUGUCCGGAAUUAUUGGGCGUAAAGGGCUCGCAGGCGGUUUCUUAAGUCUGAUGUGAAAGCCCCCGGCUCAACCGGGGAGGGUCAUUGGAAACUGGGGAACUUGAGUGCAGAAGAGGAGAGUGGAAUUCCACGUGUAGCGGUGAAAUGCGUAGAGAUGUGGAGGAACACCAGUGGCGAAGGCGACUCUCUGGUCUGUAACUGACGCUGAGGAGCGAAAGCGUGGGGAGCGAACAGGAUUAGAUCCCCSCGGGWAGYCA